RNAcentral lists this ribosomal RNA (466 nucleotides) under uncultured bacterium. Its description in RNAcentral is "partial 16S ribosomal RNA". It matches the Rfam family "Bacterial small subunit ribosomal RNA", at positions 28 to 507 of the family's 1533-position model. The record is from RNAcentral.
GACGAACGCUGGCGGCGUGCUUAACACAUGCAAGUCGAACGGCAAGGCGCGUGCUUGCUGGUGGUCACGAGUGGCGAACGGGUGAGUAACACGUGGGUAACCUUCCCUUCAUUUGGGGAUAACCGGCGGAAACUGGGUCUAAUCCCGGAUAGGACCACGGAUUGGAUAGGGGGGCGUGCAGGCCUUGCGGUGUAGGGUUGGCCCGUGGCUUAUUAGCUAGUUGGUGGGGUAAAGGCCUACCAAGGCGGCGACGGGUAUCCGGCCUGAGAGGGUGGACGGCCACAUUGGGACUGAGAGACGGCCCAGACUCCUACGGGAGGCAGCAGUGGGGAAUCUUGCACAAUGGGCGGAAGCGUGAGGCAGAGACGCCGCGUGGGGGAUGACGGCCUUCGGGUUGUAAACUCCUUUCCCCUAAGACGAAGGGUGUAUGACGGUAGCGGGAGAAGAAGCACCGGCUAACUACGUG